Molecule: ribosomal RNA, 266 nt
Filed under: uncultured bacterium
Lineage: Bacteria
Description: partial 16S ribosomal RNA
Source: RNAcentral
GGACUACCAGGGUUUCUAAUCCUCUUCGUUACAAAAGCCUUCGUCCCUCAACGUCAGUUUUUACAUAAAGACUUGCCUUCGCCAUUAUCCGUCUUCAUAGUAUCAAAACAUUUCAUCUCUCCACUAUUUAUUCCCCUAAGUCUCUCGUAUCAAACUCUAGUAUUAUCUAUAACCUUUGUAAGGUAAGAUAUACAGUCUAGGUACCCUUUAAACCUAAUAAAGAUGACUAACACUAGUCUUUCUUGUCUUACCGCGGCUGCUGGCAC